CCCUUAGAUGUCCGGGGCUGCACGCGCGCUACACUGAAGGAAUCAGCGUGCUAAAACCAUUGUCGAAAGGCAUUGGUAAACCCAUUAAAAUCCUACGUGAUUGGGAUCGGGAAUUGCAAUUAUUUCCCUUGAACGAGGAAUUCCCAGUAAGUGUGGGUCAUAAGCUCGCGUUGAUUACGUCCCUGCCCUUUGUACACACCGCCCGUCGCUGCCCGGGACUGAGCCGUUUCGAGAAAAGCGGGGACUGCUGCUGUCGGGGCUUUCGGGCCUUGGCUUCGGUGGAAACCGCCUUAAUCGCAGUGGCUUGAACCGGGCAAAAGUCGUANCA
RNAcentral lists this ribosomal RNA (328 nucleotides) under uncultured eukaryote. RNAcentral describes it as "partial 18S ribosomal RNA". It matches the Rfam family "Eukaryotic small subunit ribosomal RNA", at positions 1470 to 1796 of the family's 1831-position model. The record is from RNAcentral.